ACAAAAAUAUCAUAGACUAUGUGGCUUAUAAACAACAGAAAAUUACUUUUCCCAGUCCAAGAGGCUGAAAGUCCAAAAUCAUGGUGCCAGCACGAUCCAAUUCUGUUGAAGGCCCUCUAUGGAGAUGAGGACUGCUAUCUCCUUGUUGUGUGCUCACAUGGUAUAAAGAAGGUUACCUAUGUUUCUUGAGUACCUAUGAUAAGGACUCUAAAUCCAUUACUGAGUGCUUACCUUUAUGACCCAAUUACCUUCUAGAGCCCUCACAUUCUAAUACCAUCGCACUGGGGCUAGGAUUUUAACAUUAGUCUUUGCAGGGCACCCAAACAUUUAGUCCAUACCAGGUGCUUGGUAGAUUUAUGUAGGGAGUAGUUUGGAAAGCCAAAAAAGGAAAUGGUCAAUCCCCUUUUGGGGAAAGGGUCCUAAAAUGCUUCAUGAAGAAAAAAUUAUUUUGAAGCAUGGCUACAAGUUCUUGAGGUUGAAAUGCUGGAGGAAGCAAGAGAAGUUGAAAUUUCAGGCAAACGGAAAGCAGAGACAAGCAGACUGGGCACAUGGGAUGUGCAAGGCACUGCAAACAGCUCCUUCUCACAGAAGCUCCUGGCAUGAGAGAGACUCCAUUGGCAAAGGAGCAGCAGAAAAGGAGAGAAGAGAAGAAGCAUCUGAACAUUGAGAGGAGAAGCAGCAGCUGGACAUUGGAGACUACAGUUGGAGAGGAGUUCAGCCAGAGAUAGUUGGAGAGGAAUUUGGUCAGACAGCCGAACUCCAGGGAAAUACCACCUUCUCGCUCCAUCCCCUUCCCAAUCCCCGUUCCCACUGGGAGUCACUUUUAUCAGCAAUAAAAUCCUCCGCAUUCACCACC
Non-coding RNA from Macaca mulatta (Rhesus monkey), 856 nucleotides. NCBI's taxonomy places the organism in Eukaryota, Metazoa, Chordata, Mammalia, Primates, Cercopithecidae. The record is from RefSeq and is a predicted model, not a curated record.